RNAcentral lists this ribosomal RNA (1287 nucleotides) under metagenome. Its description in RNAcentral is "bacterial SSU rRNA". It matches the Rfam family "Bacterial small subunit ribosomal RNA", at positions 242 to 1520 of the family's 1533-position model. The record is from RNAcentral.
UAGCUAGUUGGUGAGGUAAAGGCUUACCAAGGCGACGAUCUGUAGCGGGUCUGAGAGGAUGAUCCGCCACACUGGAACUGAGACACGGUCCAGACUCCUACGGGAGGCAGCAGUGGGGAAUUUUGGACAAUGGGGGCAACCCUGAUCCAGCCAUGCCGCGUGAGUGAAGAAGGCCUUCGGGUUGUAAAGCUCUUUCGGCCGGGAAGAAAUCGCAUGGGCCAAUACCCUGUGUGGAUGACGGUACCGGAAUAAGAAGCACCGGCUAACUACGUGCCAGCAGCCGCGGUAAUACGUAGGGUGCGAGCGUUAAUCGGAAUUACUGGGCGUAAAGCGUGCGCAGGCGGUUUUGUAAGACAGGCGUGAAAUCCCCGGGCUUAACCUGGGAACUGCGUUUGUGACUGCAAGGCUAGAGUACGGCAGAGGGGGGUGGAAUUCCACGUGUAGCAGUGAAAUGCGUAGAGAUGUGGAGGAACACCAAUGGCGAAGGCAGCCCCCUGGGUCGAUACUGACGCUCAUGCACGAAAGCGUGGGUAGCAAACAGGAUUAGAUACCCUGGUAGUCCACGCCCUAAACUAUGUCAACUAGGUGUUGGGUGGGUAAAACCAUUUAGUACCGUAGCUAACGCGUGAAGUUGACCGCCUGGGGAGUACGGCCGCAAGGUUAAAACUCAAAGGAAUUGACGGGGACCCGCACAAGCGGUGGAUGAUGUGGAUUAAUUCGAUGCAACGCGAAAAACCUUACCUACCCUUGACAUGCCAGGAACUUGCCAGAGAUGGCUUGGUGCCCGAAAGGGAGCCUGGACACAGGUGCUGCAUGGCUGUCGUCAGCUCGUGUCGUGAGAUGUUGGGUUAAGUCCCGCAACGAGCGCAACCCUUGUCGUUAAUUGCCAUCAUUUGGUUGGGCACUUUAACGAGACUGCCGGUGACAAACCGGAGGAAGGUGGGGAUGACGUCAAGUCCUCAUGGCCCUUAUGGGUAGGGCUUCACACGUCAUACAAUGGUCGGUACAAAGGGUUGCCAAGCCGCGAGGCGGAGCCAAUCCCAGAAAGCCGAUCGUAGUCCGGAUUGCAGGCUGCAACUCGCCUGCAUGAAGUCGGAAUCGCUAGUAAUCGUGGAUCAGCAUGUCACGGUGAAUACGUUCCCGGGUCUUGUACACACCGCCCGUCACACCAUGGGAGCGGGUUCCGCCAGAAGUGGGUAGCCUAACCGCAAGGAGGGCGCUUACCACGGCGGGGUUCGUGACUGGGGUGAAGUCGAAACAAGGUAGCCGUAGGGGAACCUGCGGCUG